This 427-nucleotide ribosomal RNA is filed under the name uncultured bacterium. RNAcentral's name for it is "bacterial SSU rRNA". It matches the Rfam family "Bacterial small subunit ribosomal RNA", at positions 355 to 774 of the family's 1533-position model. The record is from RNAcentral.
UAAGGAAUAUUGGUCAAUGGAGGCAACUCUGAUCCAGCAAUGCCGCGUGCAGGAUGAAGGCCUUCGGGUUGUAAACUGCUUUUGUACGGAGCGAAAAGGUCUGCCCUAAUACGGUGGGCUCAUGACGGUACCGUAAGAAUAAGCACCGGCUAACUACGUGCCAGCAGCCGCGGUAAUACGUAGGGUGCGAGCGUUAAUCGGAAUUACUGGGCGUAAGGCGUGCGCAGGCGGUUAUAUAAGACAGAUGUGAAAUCCCCGGGCUCAACCUGGGACCUGCAUUUGUGACUGUAUAGCUAGAGUACGGUAGAGGAGGAUGGAAUUCCGCGUGUAGCAGUGAAAUGCGUAGAUAUGCGGAGGAACACCGAUGGCGAAGGCAAUCCCCUGGACCUGUACUGACGCUCAUGAACGAAAGCGUGGGGAGCAAACA